RNAcentral lists this ribosomal RNA (1407 nucleotides) under metagenome. Its description in RNAcentral is "bacterial LSU rRNA". It matches the Rfam family "Bacterial large subunit ribosomal RNA", at positions 1536 to 2925 of the family's 2925-position model. The record is from RNAcentral.
AAAAAAUCCGGGCCUCAUAAACUCUGAGACGUGAUACCGAGCCGCUUCAGGCGAAGUCAUAUCCUAUGCUGCCUAGAAAAGCCCAGCAGCGAGUUGACAUGGUGCCCGUACCCCAAACCAACACAGGUGGACAGGUAGAGCAUACCAAGGCGAGUGGGAUAACUAUGGUUAAGGAACUCGGCAAAUUGCCUCCGUAACUUCGGGUGAAGGAGGACCCCAGUAGCGUGAUGAGACUUGCUCUCUGAGCGUGAAGGGGUGGCACAAAAUUGAGGGAAGCGACUGUUACCAAAAGCACAGCAGCGUGCUAAGCCGUAAGGCGCUGUAUACGCUGUGACUCCUGCCCGGUGCUGGAAGGUUACGGGGAUGGGUUAGUCCUUCGGGACGAAGCUCUGAACCUAAGCCCCAGUAAACGGCGGCCGUAACUAUAACGGUCCUAAGGUAGCGAAAUUCCUUGUCGGGUAAGUUCCGACCUGCACGAAUGGAGUAACGACUUCCCUACUGUCUCAACCAUAGACCCAGCGAAAUUGAAGUACGAGUAAAGAUGCUCGUUAGCUGCAGAAGGACGGAAAGACCCCGUGGACCUUUACUAUAACUUGAUGUUGUGUUUUGUCAUAUGUUGUGUAGGAUAGGUGGGAGACUUGGAAGCAUGGACGCUAGUCUGUGUGGAGUCAUCGUUGAAAUACCACCCUGCAUAUGGUGAGGCUCUAACCUAGACCCGUUAUCCGGGUUGGGGACAGCGUCAGGCGGGUAGUUUAACUGGGGCGGUUGCCUCCUAAAGAGUAACGGAGGCGCCCAAAGGUUCCCUCAGCCUGGUUGGCAAUCAGGCGUUGAGUGCAAUGGCAAAAGGGAGCUUGACUGCGAGACCUACAAGUCGAGCAGGAGCGAAAGCUGGGCAUAGUGAUCCGGCGGUUGCGUGUGGAAGCGCCGUCGCUCAACGGAUAAAAGGUACCCCGGGGAUAACAGGCUAAUCUUGCCCAAGCGUCCAUAGCGACGGCAAGGUUUGGCACCUCGAUGUCGGCUCAUCGCAUCCUGGGGCUGAAGCAGGUCCCAAGGGUUGGGCUGUUCGCCCAUUAAAGCGGUACGCGAGCUGGGUUCAGAACGUCGUGAGACAGUUCGGUCCCUAUCCUCUGCAGCCGGAGGUGAAUUGAGGAAAGCUGUCCCUAGUACGAGAGGACCGGGACGGACGCAGCUCUCGUGUGCCAGUUGUCCUGCCAAGGGCAUGGCUGGUUAGCGACCUGCGGAAAGGAUAACCGCUGAAAGCAUCUAAGCGGGAAGCCUCUUCCAAGAUGAAUUCACCCACAGGGUUAACCUGGUAAGGCCCGUGGUAGACCACCACGUUGAUAGGCCGGAAGUGUAAGCGUGGCAACACGUUCAGCUGACCGGUACUAAUCGGCCGAGGGCUUGAGU